GAUUAUUAAGCGUUGCAGUUCAUUGUUACUGAAUAGAAGAGAAUCAUUAUUUU
Molecule: transfer RNA, 53 nt
Filed under: Neoscona adianta
Lineage: Eukaryota; Metazoa; Arthropoda; Arachnida; Araneae; Araneidae
Description: tRNA-Asn
Source: RNAcentral